CCUUACCCUGCUCCCGAAUGUGCCGCGUGUGCAUAAUGGGAAUGUGUUUCUUGUGUAAGAUAUGCUCCUGGGCUCCACGGAAGAGUCAGACACCCGGUUUAUGUCAGCUUCUGCCGAGAGAUUCGGAUCGAUGUUGGCCAGUGGCUUAAAUGAGUUCAUCCAUGCGCAAAAUGCGCAAACGGGACCGGGCCGUUGAGAAAGCAGCAGUGAAAUGAAAGGAAAUAUAAUCACUGUGGCAUGGAAAACCCUGUGUCCAAAGUAAAUAAAUACAAAUCGGACUAUAACAGAACCAGAGACUAAAAUAAACAUGGCUAUUUCCACAUCUGUACACGAAGCUAUUUGCAGAGUUCACAGUGAGGCAAAAAAAUGCGUGGUGCUGGUUCAAGGGUAUGGCAGCAGGUUAGGGAGAAAUGUGAUGACUGAGCCGCUGUAAGAUGUGAACAUGUUUCCGGCUUUGAGCAGAAACACACAACGGUGUCUCCUUAGGGUUCCCAUUCAUAUUCAAAGGAUUUAAAAAAUAGUUAGCGCCUACGCCCUCGCUCCCCAUGUAAACAUAAGCGAAGGCAAAAAAAAAAAAAAGGAAGUUGCAGAAUCGGUCUGCCGGCUUGCUCCUUCACCAUCCAUCCGUGAACCCCAACAAAAGUUCUCGCCUGCCCAAACACUGCUGCAAACACCGGUCAGUCACACAGGGAGAAGGCUCAGGCUCGUCUUGCUCGAGAGGCCCCCGCCUCGGCCUCGGCUUCCCAUCACAGUCAACCCCCAAGCAACGCUGGAGCCAAGCUGUCAGUCAAUAACACGGCGAUAACAGGGCUGCUCUCUUCACACAUGACUCCGAGGUGACAUGCGCAUGCUCCUAUAUGCACUGUACACACCCAUCAAAAUGCUGUGGGCUCGCCGUUAGAGUUGUGCGCACAAAUGCACACUCGUGCACACGCGCACACACACACGCACGCACGCAAGAAGGCUGCCAAUUGCCCACGCCUAAGAGCGAGGGACUCUGUUCUCAGUAAACAGCAACAAUAGCAGAAGCCAAGUAUCAAGUAUGCAAAAGUCCGCAUUUUUCACUCCGCUGACAUGCAGCGCUGUUGUCGUGGAUUCCUCUUUUUCAUGUUGUGGCUCUGAUUUUUCUGAUGAAUGGGAUUGUCCCAAUUUAUUUGGUUGUAGGCAAGUGCUCGGUGUGAAAUAUUGCAAAGAGAUUUUAAUAAGAUGGACCGGAAGGUACUGAGACAUAUUCAGUCUCUGCGUGGUGGAGGAGUUUUAUUUACAGCCGUGUAAGUGUCGCUGCUGAGGAGGGCUAUAAACUGCCAUUAGCGGCCCCGCCAGAUUCCAACACGGAGUUGUGGAAUCCAGCCUGGCGCAUGGACUCUCUCUGGAUUGGACGCAGCAGUUUGGGUAGCCAAACAGGCACGUAAGCACUGCAGUCAUUGACAUACAGGAGUUCGCAUAUAGAUUCCACACACGCAAGCACGGCAUCUCGCCGCCUGUCAUUUGUCUAGAAACAGAAUGGCACAUGAGAGAGGCCUUGUGGAGAAAGCAACGAGCAAUCGGAGAGACGGUAUCUGUUUAUUUAUAGGCAGUGCUGUUUAUUUGUCUGGAAUACAGCAACACGAGUGGAUGUUCAACUGACAACAGAUUGGAAGAUUGCCAUUUUCCACCGCUGCAAACGCCAAUACCAAUUGCACUUUCACAGGCUGGUAAAGGCAGAACCACGGACAGGGCGUCUACUUUGUUCCUUCAGGAAACGUCAUGAAAAGGUUGGCGAGUGCGUCAACAGUAGACCUUGGUUUCUAUUUUGAUGUAACAUGGCAGACGUGCUACAGGAAUGGUGGGGAUAAAAUCUCUAUGCUCGGGGCUGUUUGAUCAGAAACACCUAUUUAUGUACUGUACAAAGUCAAAACAGCAGCAUGCAAAAUAAGAUCUGCGCUGGCGCCAAGCCUGUGGGGUGUCAAAUUACAGAAUAAUGAGGGAUCGGGCCUUGGAACAUGUCACUCUGAAUGACACUGAAGUUGUGCGAAUGCUCUGGUUGACAUAGCGCGCGGGCUUUGUUGGAGCAUAAUAGUUUGCUGAAACAAGUGAGGGUCCGCUUCUCUCUCAUAUCCAUUGCCACCACAUACCAGUGACCUUGGAGCAGCUGACCACUUAACCCUUUUAACUUUAGCACAUUCAUUUGACAUUACCUUGAAGGGAUCAACAGUGUUUUUGUAUAUAGCAGCACGGACAAGUAGUCAUUAGAAGCGCGAGCUUUGUAGCGCAAGUCUCCUGCACGCUCUCCCCCUUAAAUACACCCCCAGCCAGCGACACCGCCACAGAAAAGAUAGCACUAUCUUUCCUGCGUCCGGGGCCCCCCAGGCAUUCUAAUCUUUUAAUUGAAUCUUUUGUCAUUAGAAUAAAAUAACUGUGAACUUCCAUCGGGGGGUGGGGCGGGGGGGGGAGAUCAGGCCAGAAUGCAGCGGUGGUCAGAAGUACAGUAAUUCCUGCCGAUUCUGUUGAAACUUACGGGCAUUUCAAUCACCUUGGGUCUGAGUGGCACAAUCAGGGAAAAUAAUGAAGUGUGUGUGUGUGUGUACCACGGCACAUACAGUACGUUGACGGACAUGUUACCGUCCCAUCAGUUUCUUGAGUGCGUCGCUAGCAAGUGUCAAGCUUGAGAACCAAAUAAAUGUUGUGGAAAAGUGGGAUCGAGGAAUUUGUUUUGGUGGGAGAGAAACACUUCCCCUUCUGGUGACCCUGCAGAAGCGCUCGGCGUAAUUGCCUCAUUCUUCUAAGCAAAUGAACAUUGACGGAGAGACGAUUGCUGGUUGAAAGGGUCCCCCUUUUCAUACAGCUGACAAGGCCGCCACACAUGGAGCAGAACUGACAUUGGCCAGGCCGCAGCCCCUGACUAACCUCUGACAUUGAGGUAUCCCUCUGCUGAACAAAAAAACAGGAAAACUGACCACACACUUUUAAAUCCUCCGAUUGUUCCUGGGCUGACAGCCAACAGUAGUGACACUUAUCACCGCCACAGAUUUAACACCAACACAAUAGUGUGCGCUCGUGCUGCUGCGAGAUCUAGCCAGCAUAAAUGUUUUCAUGGCACUUUGCACACUGUGU
Long non-coding RNA from Hippocampus zosterae (dwarf seahorse), 3093 nucleotides. RefSeq lists it as uncharacterized. The transcript is spliced from 2 exons. The record is from RefSeq and is a predicted model, not a curated record. Lineage: Eukaryota; Metazoa; Chordata; Actinopteri; Syngnathiformes; Syngnathidae.